RNAcentral lists this transfer RNA (87 nucleotides) under Candidatus Nitrososphaera sp. 13_1_40CM_48_12. Its description in RNAcentral is "tRNA-Ser". It matches the Rfam family "tRNA". Rfam says of the family: Transfer RNA (tRNA) molecules are approximately 80 nucleotides in length. Their secondary structure includes four short double-helical elements and three loops (D, anti-codon, and T loops). The record is from RNAcentral. RNAcentral also lists the same sequence under 4 other names. Lineage: Archaea; Thermoproteati; Nitrososphaerota; Nitrososphaeria; Nitrososphaerales; Nitrososphaeraceae.
GCGGGGGUCGCCUAGCCUGGCAGGGCGUGGGAUUGCUAAUCCCAUGUCCGAAAGGACACGUGGGUUCGAAUCCCACUCCCCGCGCCA